This 468-nucleotide ribosomal RNA is filed under the name uncultured bacterium. RNAcentral's name for it is "partial 16S ribosomal RNA". It matches the Rfam family "Bacterial small subunit ribosomal RNA", at positions 28 to 507 of the family's 1533-position model. The record is from RNAcentral.
GACGAACGCUGGCGGCGUGCUUAACACAUGCAAGUCGAACGGAAAGGCCCUGCUUUUGUGGGGUGCUCGAGUGGCGAACGGGUGAGUAACACGUGAGUAACCUGCCCUUGACUUUGGGAUAACUUCAGGAAACUGGGGCUAAUACCGGAUAGGAGCUCCUGCUGCAUGGUGGGGGUUGGAAAGUUUCGGCGGUUGGGGAUGGACUCGCGGCUUAUCAGCUUGUUGGUGGGGUAGUGGCUUACCAAGGCUUUGACGGGUAGCCGGCCUGAGAGGGUGACCGGCCACAUUGGGACUGAGAUACGGCCCAGACUCCUACGGGAGGCAGCAGGGGGGAAUCUUGCACAAUGGGCGCGAGCCUGAUGCGACAACGCCGCGUGCGGGAUGACGGCCUUCGGGUUGGAAACCGCUUUAGCCUGAUACGAAGCGUGAGUGACGGUAACGGGUAAAGAAGCACCGGCUAACUACGUG